AUGACCCUGCUGGAGUCCGUGAGGGACCUCCAGCCCCCCGGGGGGUCCCUGCGCCUCCUCUGCCGAGGGUCCGGCUUCAGUUUCGGGAGCUAUGCCAUGCAAUGGAUCCGCCAGAGACCUGGGCAGGCGCUGGAAUUCGUCGCGUACAUCAGCAGCACUGGUGGCAGCACCUACUACGCGCCGUCGUUGAAGGGCCGGGUGACGAUCUCCAGGGACAACGGGCAGAGCUCGGUGACGCUGACCAUGAACAGCCUCAAGGACGAGGAUUCCGGAUCCUAUUUCUGUGCCAAAAAUUGGGAUGGUUGUUGUGCUCCUGCUGCUGCUGAUGAUAUUGCUUAUGGUGAUCAAUAG
Molecule: non-coding RNA, 351 nt
Organism: Pyrgilauda ruficollis (rufous-necked snowfinch)
Lineage: Eukaryota; Metazoa; Chordata; Aves; Passeriformes; Passeridae
Source: the annotation of a RefSeq genome assembly